ACUCCUGCGGGAGGCAGCAGUGGGGAAUAUUGGACAAUGGGCGCAAGCCUGAUCCAGCCAUGCCGCGUGAGUGAUGAAGGCCCUAGGGUUGUAAAGCUCUUUCACCGGUGAAGAUAAUGACGGUAACCGGAGAAGAAGCCCCGGCUAACUUCGUGCCAGCAGCCGCGGUAAUACGAAGGGGCUAGCGUUGUUCGGAUUUACUGGGCGUAAAGCGCACGUAGGCGGACUAUUAAGUCAGGGGUGAAAUCCCGGGGCUCAACCCCGGAACUGCCUUUGAUACUGGUAGUCUUGAGUUCGAGAGAGGUGAGUGGAAUUCCGAGUGUAGAGGUGAAAUUCGUAGAUAUUCGGAGGAACACCAGUGGCGAAGGCGGCUCACUGGCUCGAUACUGACGCUGAGGUGCGAAAGCGUGGGGAGCAAACAGGAUCAGAAACCCCAGUAGUCCCA
RNAcentral lists this ribosomal RNA (445 nucleotides) under uncultured organism. Its description in RNAcentral is "partial 16S ribosomal RNA". It matches the Rfam family "Bacterial small subunit ribosomal RNA", at positions 335 to 797 of the family's 1533-position model. The record is from RNAcentral.